CCUCCUCGAUUUGCUGUGGGCAAAUCCAAUGAAUAUGACUAUCAAUGCCACCGGCAGUGAGAAUCAUGCCUUCACCAGCAAUAAUCUCGGUACCGGCACCAAUAGGAAUAGUCACGUUAGGUUGAAUAUCUGGAUUACCGGCUUUGCCUAUUUGCCAGAUAUGGCCAUCUUUAAGUCCUACAUCGGCUUUGAUAAUGCCGGUGACUGCAUCAAUAAUCAGUGCGUUAGUGAUGACGGUAUCCGCGACCUCUGCUGCAGGCAGUUGUGAUUGGCCCAUGCCAUCGCGAAU
RNAcentral lists this small RNA (289 nucleotides) under Methylophaga thalassica MP. RNAcentral describes it as "Methylophaga aminisulfidivorans MP 5' ureB small RNA". It matches the Rfam family "5' ureB small RNA". The record is from Rfam by way of RNAcentral. Lineage: Bacteria; Pseudomonadati; Pseudomonadota; Gammaproteobacteria; Thiotrichales; Piscirickettsiaceae.